Molecule: long non-coding RNA, 336 nt
Organism: Magnolia sinica
Lineage: Eukaryota; Viridiplantae; Streptophyta; Magnoliopsida; Magnoliales; Magnoliaceae
Exons: 3
Source: RefSeq, a predicted model, not a curated record
UUUAGAUGUGUUGCUCUUUCCAUGCGAAUCUGAUUUUCUUCUAACAGCUUUCUUACUGUAGAUGGGGUGUUAAGAAGCCUCAAAUCAUGAAAAAUUCUGUCACGAUCUUGUCGCGUGCAGGUCUUGGGAUGGCCAUGUUCAGUCUUGGUAAGAUCAUUGAUAUGCUCAUUCGACGCGAGGGGUGUCAUCAAGAAAUAUGACUGUCCCGAACAAAUUCUUGAAGAAUUCUUUCAUUUAAGACUUGAGUUCUAUGUAAAGAGAAAGAAAGUAAUGUUGGAUAAUCUUGAGAAGGAAGAAGCCCAGGUGGAGGAGGUGACAAGACAGAUGGAGGGUAAG